Molecule: long non-coding RNA, 4046 nt
Filed under: Sus scrofa (pig)
Lineage: Eukaryota; Metazoa; Chordata; Mammalia; Artiodactyla; Suidae
Description: lncRNA (ENSSSCG00025007076.1)
Source: RNAcentral
CAGUUCCCCCUUCACUCAACGUUGGAGACCGUUACGGCCAGCAGAUGUCCACCUGCUUAGAAGACUCAAGUCCAAGUUUUCCCUUCAUCGCCCUGGAUGAGCUUCUGUUUCUCAAAAGAAAAAUAAGGGUAGGGGCAGGGCCAGCUGCAUAAUUCGUGGGACCCAGUAUGAAAUACAAAUGUAGGGGCCUUUGUUCGAAAAGCAGGAAAAAAGUGCUGUAAGAGCACUAAAAUUUAAUGCUCUUUUCCCUUGAGUCUCUCUCUCCUCUUCUCAUGAUGUGUCUUAUUUGCUGUUUAAUGUCAUGCUAAAUAUAAAUAAAAACUUUUAAUUCUUAGCAUGAAUUUUACCAUCCAUCUUUAUAAUGCACAAUGCUAGUUUUAAAUGCAAAUAUACGAGCAUUUAAUUUAUCUGCAUAUCAUCACAAUUGCAGUUUGUAUUUUAUAGGUUGCGUAUGCAUGUGUAUUUAGUUCUUACCAGAACACACUGGACACGUUGAACAAAGUGAGCUCAGCUGCUUUUAUCUGACUUCUUAGAUGUGAACAUUCUACCAGCAUCUCUGACUUGAGCUUGUUGAUGAGUAAGGAAGGACUGGAAGGAAAAGGAACUAUGGGCUGCUCUAUCCUUCCCUUCUGCUCUGCAUCAUCUUUUUGAGCAUAGGUGGUGGCCAUAUACAGGGAGGCAAGGCAAGUAAGAAAUGAAAGGGUAGGUUCCUUGGACAUUAGUGAAUCAUAGAACCCCAUUGCUUUCUUUCUCCAUGUGAGCAAGUUCUGGUUCCAAUAGCAUGACCUCUUGGUGCUACCUCUGCCCCCUCCCCGCCUUCUCAUAGACUCACCAUUGACUUGCUUUGUGUCUCACUGGGCUCCCACUGGAAUUCUGUGCUCUGGGGGUCCUGCCAACCCUGUGGAGCAGAAAGGAAUGGUGAACACAUGUAUGGCACUGGCAUAUCUCCUCUACUCAAGCAUCCUCCAUUGUCCCAUAGACUUUACUUACAAAACACAAGUUUAAAGAUAAAAUUAUUAAGAAUUUCAAUGACAAAUGCUGUCCAUUUCAAUGACAGCAGAGGAUUGAACCAAGCAUGCAGCCCUUCUGAGCACAGGGACAUGUGAGACGACACAAGUUGCACACCCAUGAAGCCAACCUAGGCAGGAGGAGGUGAGAAGUAACCCAGAUCCCAAACUGAGAACACUGUUGCUCACUUUUUCUCAUCAAGCAAAUAACCCAUCUGCAGCAGAAAAGCUUCAGCAGCCUCCAUUUUUCACCCAUUGGGGUUUUCUUCUCCAUUAACCAAGUCUCACUUUGUGAAAAGUCCACCACUUCCUGGUGAUGGUGUCACAACUUUGAAGAGAGAAUUCAUCUCCUGAUCUCUUCUGGGUCUGCAGAAGCCUUGGGUAGGAGCCCAGACCUUGGAAAUGAAGCAUCUGUCUAAUGCCCACCCACCACUUUUAGGCUUGGCUCCAUCAAGCAGAUCUUCUGCCUGAUAUGUACAUAGGUUUUACUAUCUACAGUCAAAUGCAAAAAAAAAUACUUAGCUUGCUUCAUGAGUAAUUUUGCUAAUUGUUUAGUACUUAAUUAUUAUUUAUCUCACCAGUACUCUGAAUUCUGCCCAGGGAUCUCUCCGUCUAGGAUGACAGGUUCUCAACAAUGCCUUUGGUAAAAAAUUCAGUUGAUGUUAAUAUGGAAGAAUUAGGGUUUGAGUCUCAAAAGGUCAAGAAGAAGACAGUCAUAUUCCUGAUAGACCUCAGAAGAAAGGAACAUUUUUCCUUCCAUCAUCAACUGCCUCCCUGCUCCUUAUGCUCAAAGGAGCAAAGCUAGAGGGCACCUCAGAUAUUUAAAGUGGACUAGAAUGGAAAUAGAAUGGCAUUAAAAAUGCAUCCAACAUAGAGAGCAAAGACACUAUUGACCUUCCAUCAUUGGUUCAGGGACUUUGAGAUUUGAGUUUUUCAACCUUAAUCUGGUUUUUCUUUCUUUCUGGUCCUUCAGAUGACAACAACACCCUUUUGUGAAAUACUGAGCUUGUACUUAGCUACUGAGACUACCUAGAGAAAAGAGGAAAAGGAAUUACUCUUAUUUACUUUUUUAUAUAAACUUUACUAGAUUUGGGGACUACUGCAGUGAUAGCUCAAGUUGGUGGACUAGAAGAACCAAGCCAUGAAGAAUUAUUUACUCUUUGGGAAUGAGCUUAGCACAGUGCUUAAUCCACACUGGAUGCUUAAUAAAUGCAAGCUGAUUCUGCAUAUGUCUCAUUAUUGUGGCAAUCUGUUAUAGUGAAAGACUCAUGGGUUUGGCAUCCAGCUACAUAGAUUCAAGAAACCAAGUGAAUGUGUGAUCUUGAGCACAUUUAGCUUCAUUGUGACCUGCUUACCUCACCUAAAAAGUGGGAGUAUUCCCAUUAUAAUGCCUCCCCCAUGGAGAAUGAAAUGAGAAAUGAGAUGGCUUAUCCAAAAGCACUCUGUUCUGCAUACACAAUACAUGUGUCUGCACAUAUGUGUGUGCAUAGAGGAAGAUGUUAGAUUUUAAAAACAAAAACAAAAACCCUGCCUUCCUCUCUCCAGUUUCACUUGACUGUAGAGGGAGAUACAGGUCUCUGAUAGGCUAGACUCUCACAAGAUCAUGAGUAUAAUGGUGAAUAGUUCAGGCUUUGCAGCUGAACAGACAUGGGUUCAAAUCUUGGCUCCUGUAUUUGGUUGGUUCGGUGGUUUUUGACAGGUUAUUUAAAUUCUCUAAGUCAUGGUUUCUUGACACCAAGAGAAAUGAGUGUAGUAAUAGUACCUACUUCAAAGAGUUACUAUGAUUUAUUGAGUAAUUUGCAAAGGGCUUGGCACAGCAUCAUCCCAAGUAUCUGAUAUAUUACUAUUAUUUUUAUUGUUAUCUUUAUUAUUAUACCUCUGGCCACCGAUGGGCCCAAGGAAGCAUCAGAAAAGUGGCUUGGAAACCUCUUUUCAUGGCAUGUUAUGGGCCGGCAUUUCCACUUACACCUUUCUUUCCUGGGUAGAUUCUUCCUUUUCUGAAGCUAGCAGAGUUGUUCGUAGAUCUUUUCACACACACGGGUGCUCCUCUUGGGAGAUGCUGGGUAAAAUCUACCUUCCCCCUCCUUACCCUCCUGAAAGUCAAAGGAACUAUUUUCAUUGACCCUGCCCAAUAAGGAACAGGCCUGGGAAACUUUCCAGGACCCUUCCCCUUCAGCUCAGACCCCACAAACCUUUUUCUUCCAGCAGCUCCCUGUCCUGAAAGUGGAGGCCCCCAAGAGAGGAGAAAGUGGCCUAGUCAGUACUGAGCACAGGUCUGCACCUCAAGACCAUGGGUGAAAGAAGGUCAUCUGUGUUUGACCCACUGGAGCCCAAAGGGCAAGACUUGAGCCUCCUCCUCUCCACUGGGGCACACGUUCCAGGUUCUCCUUGGACAUUGUGAGAGUCCCUCAGUGAUUCCUGGGGGCAAGUAUGACUGUCUCCUCCUCCUCCAGGUCUUGAUUUUCAAGGACCUAUUCUCUAGUGGAGAAGAGACGAAAGCAAUUAUUUACUUGAUCCCCACAGCCUCACUGAAAUCAUGGAGGGUCCACUAGCUAGCAGGCCGUGUACUAGGCGCUGUGCAUUCAGAGAUGACCAAGACCUGGAUCCUGUCUGCCACCACGGCGCUCGUGGUCUAAAACAUGAAUGUGGCCUUUAGCAGCCCACAUUUUCUUUUGGUAAGACCUAGUCCUACCCUGAGUCCUUAUGAACUUAUAUAAAGCCAUUGCCUGACCAAUAAGCCACCACCGGCUUCCUUUCCCUGUUCCAAACUCACGUGUCUUGGUUCCCGUUGUGGCGCAGUGGUUAACGAAUCCGACUAGGAACCAUGAGGUUGCGGGUUCGGUCCCUGCCCUUGCUCAGUGGGUUAACGAUCCGGCGCUGCCGUGAGCUGUGGUGUAGGUUGCAGACACGGCUCGGAUCCCGUGUUGCUGUGGCUCUGGCGUAGGCCGGUGGCUACAGCUCCGAUUCAACCCCUAGCCUGGGAACCUCCAUAUGCCGCGGGAGCGGCCCAAGAAAUAGCAACAACAACAACAACAAAAG